This 33209-nucleotide long non-coding RNA is filed under the name Fragaria vesca (wild strawberry). RNAcentral describes it as "long non-coding RNA (FVES_LNC002546)". The record is from RNAcentral. Lineage: Eukaryota; Viridiplantae; Streptophyta; Magnoliopsida; Rosales; Rosaceae.
AACUAAACAAAAUACUUAGGCUACAUUUCCAGAGCAUUUCUUCCAUUUUCGAUUUUCAAAAGUGUUAUAUGUUUCAUCGAAAAAAACAAAGUGGGGAAGAAUACAAUGGAGAACCUCUCUCCAUUUUCUCUUUUGCUAUCUAGUCCAAACUCCAAACAGAUUGCACCUAAACUAGAAUGAAAACAUGAAAAUGAAAACAAAAGGGAUUAUUAGGUCAUGUGGUGUCCCCACUUUCAUCUGUGAGAUCUGGGCCGUAAAAUGCCCCCUCCUUUCCUUUAUAUAAUACUACCUCCCCUCUCUUUCUUUGCUCAAGUAGUUCUGAAUAUUGUCUCUUCCUUCCUUCUGGCUAGCACUCACAACCUUUCUUUUAGCUCUAUCAAUAAUCCAAAAGCUUCUCUCAAUCUGAACAGCUUCAAUGGCCUGUUUAGAGGUCUGCAACGAGGUAGUUUAGCAUACCCUUUCAAUGUCCUUGCUUCUUUCAUUCAUCUUUUUGAUCGAGCUCCUAUUUUUAUUCAUCUCUGUUUCAUUUAAUCAUGUCCACCUUCUUGGCAUGAUUUCUUAUUUUACCGCAUGCAUUCUUGAGUAAUGGCAACACUUGAUUGUGUGAUCAUAUAUGGAAGCAAAAAAAUCAGCUUAGUUUAUUGAUUUCAUCUCUCUUGUAUGAAAAAAAAAAAAAUCAGGUAAAGUUCAAAGAAGAUGAAGAGGGAACCACCAACACUCUUGAUGGAAGUGUAGACAUGCAUGGCCGGCCAGCAAUCAGAGCAAAAUCGGGAAGAUGGGUCGCCGGAAUCAUCAUUCUUGGUAAGCACCGUUUUCUCAUAUCAGUCCUCCAGAAACCCAAGAAACAAAGACAAAGAAAACUCACAUGUCUUGGUUUUCUUGGUUUCUUCAGUUGUGCUUGUGCUUAUAUGACAAAAUCACUAACCUCAUUUCAAACAUCAACCUCAUCAAAUUGUUUCUUUCAAAGUCCCCUCCUUUUAUUAACCAGUACUGAAGACAAGAUACUCUUCUAGGUCUUGUUCUGCGGGCUAGAACAUUUAACAACCUUUUGAAAAAGAGCAAAACUGGGAUGAAAUGAAAGCCUGUGUAUUAGAUAAGCAGUUUGAUUUUUCUUUGAUAAGCUAGAAGCAGAUAUAAGUGAUACACUUGGGACACUGCAACCCAGAACCAAGUGUUGCAUGCUGGGUGUCUCUACAGCCAGCUAAACUCCACUACAAAAAUACAUGCCCCAAUUUAAGGUGCCAGACUGCCAGUUCACCGCCCACAAGAACCAUGUUUUUCUGUUUUAGAGAGAGAAACUGAGAGAGAGAGAGAGAGAGAGAGAGACUGGGAAGUAGACGACAUCCAUGACGAAAGAGUAGUAGAGACAGAGAGAGGGAGCGUGAAAGUGAGGAAAGCAUGCAUUCAGAGUAAUACGUCUCAGACACGUAAUCGGUGUCUGAUUUUGCAUGACGUAUGUUUUUGUCACGUGUCCUUUCUUCCAAUCUUACGUUAAAGGGUUACGAAAAAAAAAAAAACUUACAUGUUUUCUGCAAAAACAAAAAAAAGGGUCUAUUUUUCUCAUUAGAACAAAGAACCCAGAAAAUCAUAGACAUAAUCACAUACAAGAAGCUUUUGAGAUGCAUGAGUAAUGUGUUCAUUGUUGCUGGAGAUUAUAAUUGGGUUUUUGGUUUAUGGUCAUAUAUCCUAGUUUCCACUAAAGUUUGGAAGAAAAGAAUGCCUAAUCUAAAUUAAGCAUGACUGUAAAUAUCCAAAUAUAACUGCAUCACACCUUAAAGCUUUUCUGCUUUGGCACGUCCCAUCGAGUUCAGGUCACUUUGGUGUCUUAAACCCAUUUUAUUCGACUUGUAAACAACAACAACUAAAAGAAAGCCUUAUCUAUUUUUCAAUAGUAGUUUCUAUUAAGACUCUUGUAAAUGAACCUAAUUGAUGUGCAUGCUAUACAGCUAGAGAAGGAACUGUAUAUGUGUGCAUCUGAGUUAGAUUUCAGCUGUAGAUGAUUGUAACAAUCUGAUGCAUAUGUUGGAGACGGACCAAAUUAUGGGACAUCUUGAACAUGGUUGAUUAUGAAUGCUAAUCACAUGUGGUUUUCGAUUAUGUUCUCAAAAUGUUUUCCGAAACUUCUCUUCCAAUCUUCAUAAUAUUUGUUACCCUUGGAAUCGAAGCGUUUGAUUUCAAUGCCAAGCAACUCAGAAAUUGAUUUCUUUGGUCAUCUAUAGCAUGGAACAACUUCUUAGCUUAAUUUGGCUUCUGAAUUGCCCUUCUAACUUCAGUUCAGAAAGAUGUCAGAGGAAAAAAAUAAGACUUCAAUCCGUUAGAAGUUAGAACUUAGAACUUAGAAGCACAAUUGUUGCAUGAAACUUUAUUACAUGUAUCCCUGGGUCUUUGAAUUUAGAUUAGCUUCAAAAUAUUUUUACAAACUCGUUCUUCUUCGCACAGCUUUAAACUACGCCUCAAAUAUUCCAAUCUAGUUAAAUCUUUCAGUAUCAAUAGUUCUCUAAAGUUGAAAUCACAUUUUUUGAACCUUCUGACCCUUUCGUUAUUCUGUUGUUCCACUGAAAACCAGUGAACCAAGGUCUGGCAACCCUAGCAUUCUUCGGAGUUGGGGUGAACCUGGUUCUUUUCUUGACCAGGGUGCUGCAACAAAACAAUGCAACAGCAGCUAACAGUGUGAGCAAGUGGACCGGAACUGUCUACAUCUUCUCCUUAGUUGGUGCCUUCCUCAGUGAUUCUUACUGGGGACGCUAUAAGACUUGUGCCAUCUUUCAGAUCAUAUUUGUCAUAGUAAGUGUCAUUCGCUUCCAAUACUUAUUGAGAUUCACACAAUGAGCUAAGCACUUUUUCAUUUUGCUUCCAUUAUGUUCCAAGACGAAUUGAGAAUGAGUAGUACUACUCUUUCCAAUGCUUUGUUUGUAACACAUUUAACUUGCAGGGACUGGCUUCAUUGUCGCUAUCAUCGCAACUCUUCUUACUGAGGCCCAAAGGUUGUGGGAGCCAAGAAAAUCCAUGCGGAACUCAUCAAGGCUACCAAAUUGCAUUAUUCUACCUUUCCAUCUACCUCAUUGCCCUAGGAAAUGGAGGGUACCAACCAAACAUUGCAACAUUUGGAGCUGAUCAAUUUGAUGAAGAGGACCACAGGGAAGGACACUCAAAGGUGGCAUUUUUCAGCUACUUCUACCUGGCAAUGAACCUAGGCUCCCUUUUCUCCAACACCAUAUUAGGGUACUUCGAGGAUGAAGGAAUUUGGGCACUUGGGUUCUGGGCGUCCACUGCGUCUGCGUUUGCAGCACUGGUCUUGUUUCUUAUAGGGACUCCUAGGUACAGGCACUUCAAGCCAAAUGGGAAUCCUCUUGCAAGGUUUUGCCAAGUCUUGGUUGCUGCUGUAAAGAAAGGCAAGGUAAAUAUGCCAUCAGGUGGAGAGGAAUUAUAUACAGAGGAAAAAAAGGAGUCCUCCAACCGAAAGAUCCUCUACACCCAUGGGUUCAAGUAAGAGCAUAUAGAAACUCUGUGUUCUUGAUACUUGGCUGAUUCCAAUAUAUAUCUUAUCAUUGUUAUGACCAUAGAAGCAUAGAGCUAACUUCCUUUGAAUACAGGUUCCUGGACAGGGCAGCAUAUAUCUCAUCAAGGGAUUUAGACAACCAGAAACAGGGUCUUCAAGACCCAUGGCGUCUCUGCCCUAUUACCCAAGUGGAAGAAGUUAAAUGCAUUCUAAGGUUACUCCCAAUUUGGCUGUGCACCAUUCUCUACUCGGUGGUUUUCACACAAAUGGCUUCUCUGUUUGUAGAGCAGGGAGCUGCUAUGAAAACCACUGUUUCAAACUUCCGCAUUCCGCCAGCAAGCAUGUCUAGCUUCGAUAUCCUCAGUGUGGCAGUUUUCAUUUUCUUUUACCGCCGCAUUCUUGACCCACUAGUGAGCAGAAUAAAAAAAUCUGAUUCCAAAGGACUUACUCAGCUUCAGAGAAUGGGAAUUGGCCUUGUUAUAGCAAUCUUAGCAAUGGUUUCAGCUGGAAUUGUGGAGUGCUACAGACUCAAGUAUGCGAAGAAAGAAUGCACCCAUUGCGAUGGCUCAAGCACCCUAAGCAUCUUCUGGCAAAUACCGCAGUAUGCAUUCAUCGGCGCUUCUGAAGUUUUCAUGUAUGUAGGUCAGUUGGAGUUCUUCAAUGCACAAGCACCAGAUGGACUGAAGAGCUUCGGAAGUGCCCUGUGCAUGACAUCCAUUUCUCUCGGUAACUAUGUUAGCAGCUUGCUCGUGAGUAUGGUCAUGAAGAUAUCAACUGAAGAUCACAUGCCCGGAUGGAUCCCUGGAAACCUCAACAAAGGCCACCUAGAUAGGUUUUACUUCCUCUUAGCUGCCUUGACAUCAAUAGAUUUGAUUGUCUACAUUGCAUGCGCCAAGUGGUACAAGUGUAUCAAGUUGGAGGGAAGAUUUGAAGAAAAUGAAGAGCAAGAGAACUUCAAAGUCUGAUGGAAACAUCAAGGAGGCAUGUUAAGACCUAUGCUAGCAACCUAUAUUAAAUAAGACGAAUGAGGUCCUAAACAACGGGGUAAAAGGAACUGUUUUCUCACCAACUCUCUUGCACCCGUUUUUCUCUGUAUCUUUAGCAGCAACACUGUACUUUUUAUGUCCAGGCUUGUUCUAGUAGAGGUGGGUAGCUUUUGGUUUAGGUCUUAGGAUCUUCCCUCAUUCUCAUUUGUUUGUUUUAUUGCUAGCUAUAGACUUAACAUGCGCUUCUAGAGAAAUCUAUUGUACUGAUGGGAACUCUUUGAAGCUGUAGUAAUAUGUAAGAGAACUGCUCUGACUUUUAAUGGAAGCACCUCUUCCCUCAGACUUGCUUCUAUAUUUCCUUGUAAGAGUCUAGUGAAACAAUGUUAGCAAAGGGUUUUGGCAACCAUAGGUUUCAACAAGGCUUCUUCCCAGGGAAACUAGGACUUUGUGACCAUAUUCUGCUUUCUAGGAUGGAUUCUGGUUUGCUGAUAGCCAACAAUGGAAAGAAACUUGACGAUAUAUCAUUUCCUCAUUCCUCCUUUGGCAACAUAAUAAAUACUAUGAGGAUGAUGAUGUCUAUCUAAAGAAGGAUGAAGGCUCUGUUUAGGAACUAGCAGUAAGUAACCUAAAUAACUACCUCAAAGGAAAACAAUAAUUUUUUCCGAUUUAAGCAAAAGCCAAGUGGCCGAAGCAGUUGAAUCUAUAAUCACAUAUACUUUUGACAGUAUGGCUGAUAACUGUCCUAUGCAAAGUGUAUUGGCCAUGUAAACUGUAAAGAAAAGGACCAAAAUCAGAAAACAGCAUUCACAAAGAGAAGUUACAACUCUGUAUGGCAUAGAUUUAAAGAAUACGAUCCAUGCAGAUGAUUCUUUAAGAAAAUUGAUUUGAGCUGAUAAACAGUAUCAAUAAAAGCAAACAAAUAAAUUAAAGAAAACAAAUUCACAGUACACUCUGCAACAUCUAAAAUUGGUAUGACAUGAUUUCUUUAUGUAUUAGAUAUAAAUCAACUUGAUCUACUUUUGCAUUCAAAAUUGGGGCUAUAUUCAUUAGAUUUCAGCAAGUUCAACACAAAUGUAAAUUCGACUAUCAACAACCAAAACAAACCUAAAAAUAAAUUCUCAUUGGUUCGAAAUACUUUCCACCUUACGAACUUGGAUAUGAUGAGAAGAUUCUUUACGCCAGAUUGGUUGUGCGCCACUUUGGACAAGAGUAACAUGCUCUCCCUCUUUCAAAUGUCCCUUAGCCUAUGCAUCAAAUUUAUUGAAACAGUUUUACCACAAACGAAGAAUAAGAUAAAGGAAGAAACAGAUUAAGAAAUCAGUGAUCACUAACCACUAAUAGCUGUAUUGCUCUUGAGUAAGUCUCCUCUGAAUCAUUUGAGAAUUGCAUAUAUAUUGGGAGGACACCUUGAUAAAGCACCAAUCUCUGCUUAAUCCUUUCUCUACAAAGCAUAGAAAAUGUCAUGAGUUUAGAACAGAUAACAAAAAAAACAAGUUUAACUUGUACACUUCCAUAACCCCUCGGACAGAAAGACAACAGUGAUUGCAUUUGCAACUGGCAUAUGAAGCUAAAACAUUGUGGAAUAAUUUCAAGAGUAAAAACCUAAAAUAGUACCUGAACUAUUGUGAAAGGUACUUUUUGGUACCUACGAAUUUUUUUAAUUGAAAUGGUACCUCAAGUAUUGCUCCAUUACCAUAUCAGGUAAUGAAGUAACACUUGAGGUACCAUUUUGUUAGGUUUCCAGCCCAUGUGUUUUUCGUAAGAUGUUUCGUCUUAGAGUAUGGUGUUCCAAUAAGGAAAGUAAAUCCUUAUUGAUGAUGGUGUACCUGUAAUCUUGAUAGGAAUAGGAUUCCUAUUUGGUGAAGAGAUCUGAAGAUCCUUAUGGCUAUAUAAGGAGGGGGUCAGCUCUAGGUUUUGAAUCGCAGAGACGAAGACCAAAGUGUGUUCCAUUCUCGGUUAGAGGGUGAGAGAGGGCAGAGAGGAGAGAGAUAGGAAGAGAAGUGAGAGAGUCCUUGUUUUCUUAUUCUUUAUGGUGUACCCAUUAUUAAUAUAGUGGAAAUGUUUUCUGCCGGUGGAUGUAGGCAAAGGUUUUGCUGAACCACCUUAAAUCUGUGUUCUUUGUGUCUUGUCUCUGUGGUUGUUUCUCUUGGUUUGCUGUGUUCUUUUGGGGUUCCUUGACAUACAUAAUUGGCCGAUAUCACAACACAUUUCAAGUAAAAAAAAAUCGUAGGUACCAAAAUAUACCUUUCGCAAUAGUCCAGGUACCAUUUUAGGUUUUUACCCUAAUUUCAAUGCCGCAGAAAACCUUAAAAUUCCAUUAAGGGUCAGAAUGGAGCUAAACAUAAUUUAAAUUUAAAUUUAGUUUUACAGCAAUAUGACUCACGAAAAUGUUCAGACUUCAGAGUAAAAAUAGAAGAGAACAGUAAAUAUCCAGUAUAGGGGUUAACACAAUAUUAGUCUCAAAUGUGAUGAACUUUUAGCUUUAAACACCAAAAAACACAGUUUAGGAGAAGGUUAGUUGUGUGAGAAGUAUUCCGUGGAGGCAGAGAGAGGGGUUGUGUUGGUAGUAUUUCAGUGUGGAUGACAAAGAAUAUGAGGAUCUUUGAGGGAGUAAGGGGAGACGAAGCAGAUCAGUUAUUAGCAUCCACUUGGGCACCAGUGUCUUUUCAGUUUUGAAUUAUUCCUUCUGGGCUCUUUAGCAUGAUUGAAAUGCUGUUGUGCUUUAGAAGACUGUGAUGUACUCUUUUAAAUGUGACAUCUUGACACAACUCCAGUUAUUAAUUUUAGUGGUACCUACACUAUCCAUAAGACUCAUUAUCUCGUGUCCAUUUCUUAUAAGCAAAUAUAAAUGGAAUUGUGCACAAAAAACAAAAGAUAGAAUACAGCCCACCGUCCUUGACAUAAUUAUGAUAAGCGAAGAGCUAUACCACAGAAGACUGAUUUUUUUUUUUUUUUAUCUACAGCAGCUAUGUAACAGGAGUGACAUGAUAUUUCUUUUCAUCCAAAUCUAAACAAUUUGUGGGCACAGAAAGGGAAGUACUAUUUAAAGCUCACAUUUUUUCCAGGCCAUACAUAUGUCAUAUGCGUAUACUGCUGCACUAUAAAACUAAAGACCAUUGUGUGGACCUAAAAAUAUAUCAAAAUAUAUAUGCACCAUUUUCAGACAUAAUGCAUAUAUUAGGAUAUCGGACUUACUCAUUUGUGAAGGCAAAGAUAGUGGAGCAUGGCCUAUAAUGGCUUAAGAGUACAGCCAUGGAUCCUGUCCUUGUAAAAACAAUGAUGGGUGUAUUGAGACUGUUGGCCAUAAUUGUAGAGUGGAAAGCAAACAUUUCCCCCAUAUGUCUCUGUAAAAAACGUCCACAUUUAAGAUUCAACGAGCAGGAGCCUCAGGCCAAAGACAACAUAUAGUUAAAAAACCAAAAGGAAGAGAACAAAAAAAAAAGCAAAAUCCAUGAAAAAAAAAAAACAUAAAAUCCUAUGUAUGACCACUGCAUACCUUGUAGGCACUUAAUUGGAUCGGAGGAAUAGUGCUAAUUGGUAGACUUGACUCAGUCCUCAAUGCCACAGUAUGCAUUACUUUAACAGCUUUGAGUGGAUAUCUAGACAUGAACUUACAGAAGUAAUAAAUAUAUGGAAGCACAUAUUGCCUGCUAUAAAAAUUUAAGCUGGUUCAACAAGAGAUGAUAUACAUGCUUCAGCCACAAACAAGGGAAAGCCAAAAGAAACAGAAGAACCAAGAUUUUCAAUUAUCCAUACUAUUAGGCAAGUCAACAGCCAACAACAAAAGAUGAACCUAUAAUAAUAUUAGUCUAGAUUUUUUCAGACUCGCCCUCUCUAAAAACAAUUAUCAUUUGAUCACAUGGUAGACAACCUCAGAUUUCACCUAUAAUAAUUAAUGUCAGAUGUUAGGGAAUGCUAUACUUAUAUAGUGACACCCUCCAGUGGCAAGAGAAUAAACCACAACAGACUGACACACGACAUUACCAAUUAGAACCAGGAAAAGUUUACAAAUUGAGAACAUGGAAGUGAUAACAUGAAACUAUUGUUCAAACAGAUCUACCGAAAAAUCGAAUAUAGCCCUUGAACAAUGUGGAAAAACAAUUACAUAAAGUGAUAAAACCACAAGGAUGAAGAGAUAUUUCCAGUGUACCCAAAAUAGCCCACAAAAUAUGUGGAGAAACAAAUAAAUAAAAACAAAUAGAUUAUUCCCACAUUACAGUGGUCCAAUGGUUAGAGACAAUAGAAUCAAUUUUCUAUCAGAACAGUAGCUGGGAGUCACAAAAGCAUCUAAUGAAUACUAGUGUACUUACUUUCCAUGGGCAGUUUCUCCAGAAAGCAUGAUGGCAUCGGCACCUUCUCUCACUGCAAUUGCAAUGUCAGAAACUUCUGCCCUGGUUGGUGUAGGAUGAUCGAUCAUGCUCUCCAACAUAUUAGUUGCUACAAUAACUGGUUUCUGCAUAGUGUGACACCUUCUAAUGAUGUCUUCCUGUUAAGAUAACAUAGGGUUCAGUUCCAUAACAACAUUAGCUUCAAAGUUGAUCACAAAUAUUAACAGCUCAAGCUAUGUAAAGAAAUAUCAUCAGAGGGCCUAAGAUAUCCUACACGCUGGGUCAUCCAUUAUUUGUCAUCUCUCAAACACAGAUAAAGUUACUGUUACAUGCACUUCCUGGUUUGGGUAUGAAUUUGAUAUAUUUGAUCACAUCCGACUAAAGACAUCCUAUAAACUUCUUCCGCCACCACUCAAUAUAGUCACCAUAGUUGGAGAUAUGCUAUCUCUUAGAGUAUUUAAAAGGGAAAUAGAGUUUAAUCCUCAUAUAUGAUACACAUAGAUCUGAUAACCAUAUGUCAAAAUUAAGUAGUAACAAUUAUUUCAAAUUAGAUGGUACGUUGAAAAGAUGCCAAUUAAAAGAUUUCAAACUACCAUCACCUUUGCUUCAAUUUUUGUUAAAAAACCAUGAUUUUUAUACAUAGAUCCAUAAUUCACAGUUAGAUUACUGAAAACUUAUUUCUUAACUAGAAAUUCAGAAUAGAGCAGUCCAUUAUUAUUGAUAUGUAUGACUGGCAUUCUGCCUCAGACUUGUAUCAUUUCGAGUCAGUGCAUAUAUAUAACAUGAAUGAAAUUACCUGCAACAAAGGAACUUCCUCAAUUGGAAGCUCAGCUCCAAGGUCUCCACGAGCAAUCAUAGCCUAUAAAGUCCACCAACAAAAAUGAAACUACAUAAUAUGCCAUUGCUGAUGGUAAUAACUAACAAUUGAGGAUCAGCUGGGCUACUGUUCAUGAAAAUAAAGUCACAACUAAUGCUAACCCCAUCAGAUGCAGAAAUUAUUGAUUGAAGAUUUGGUAUAGAGUCUGCACUUUCAAUUUUUACAAUAACAUGAAUAUCUGCAUUACAACCUGCAAGAAAUACAACACUCAGUUCAGGAGUCAAUAACAUAGAGAAGCACCAAAAAGAAAUUAACUAAAAAUGAAUAAGAGAUUGAAAGUAGGAAUAACUGAGGUGUCUAGAGUAAUACCUUUGAGAUAAUCUUUCAACUCAUGAACCACCGCAGCACUUUUUACGAAUGAGACAGCAUAGAAAUCAACUCCAUUGUCCACUCCAAACUUGAUAUCUUCCCAGUCUUUUUCUGUAGAAAGAGAUCGAUAGAGCAUUAAUGAAAAUUGUAGUUGGAAUAUAGGAUGAGAGAUGUUCUGCUGACUGGAUCAAAAUGGUAGGGAAAAGCAGUUCAUCAAGAUUAGAUAAAAUAGUUCUUAACAAAGGAAUAAUCAGAUUUGGUAAUCGGUAAUUUUCCGGUGAAAUAAGCCUUUUUUUUUGGGAAGUGGUUGUAUUGGACUUGGCAGAGGAUUCAUUAUGGCUACAGUUUAGCAGAAAAUAUGGUGUUCUUAACAUAUAUAUCGAUCCAUUCUCUAAUAACUUAAUUUUUUUGGAUAACAGUGCAUAGUCAGAUGUCUAAUUACACACACACACACACACACAACAAAAAAAAGAAGCUAAAUUGUCGUGCAGUUGCACUGUGUUAGCCUUUUCUUUUUGUUCAUCUGGAUAUAAAGUAAUAAGAGUUUUUCUGGUAGUUUGGGUCAGGUGAGGAUUGGGAUGAGCUGACAAGGCCAGAUCAUGCUCAUUGCCUGGUAUCACUAUACACAUAAUUUAUGGCUUCCCAACUCGUUGAUGUUUAUCUGGCUCAGAAGGCUAUAGUAUGUUAGUAAAUUAAUAUUACUGUUUUCUUUAUUUCUUACAUGUUUGUUCCUUCUUAUAAAUAACAAUGUGGACAACAAAUGGAAAAAUUCAAAUAAACUCGCACAACAUUAAUGAAGAAUACCUGUUAUUGAAGGCAGAGUUGCACUUUUUCCACGCACAUUUAAAUGGCGCCUUGAUUUUAGUUCUCCUCCAUCAACUACUAAACAUUUUACCACAUCUUUUGUCUUUGACUUCACAGCUAAAGACAUCAUCCCACCUGGUAGAAACACAAGCUACAUCAUCAGGUAUCGUCAAAUUUUCAAAAUAUGAGUAUAAAAGGGAGAUGGUGAAAGAACUCUCUUUGUUACAUUCAUAGCUUAUGAACUCAGCACAUCAAAUAUUUGACAUGUAUACACACAAGUACGGAGUCUUUUCUCUUGUCAGAUGACAGCAUGCUAUGAUAUCAGACUCACAAUCUGGAAUAGAUCACGUACUUAUUUGCUUAAACAAUGUCUCAACAACUUGAGGUUAAGAAACACCAGCGCACUAAAAAAAUCUAGUAUAGCUCUAUAGACUGGCUUUUCUCAUCAAAGUUGAUCACAGCAAUAAAUCAAUAAAUUUUUCAAGCUCCCAAUUACAGAGUUCUAGAUUCCACUGAAUCACAUGCACAAAAUAAGGGCCGUCAAUCUCUUGGAGUCAACAUUUAACUUUCCAGUACAUACUUACAAGUUACAACAAGAACAAGUCAGCUCAAAUGAAAAUUAGCUCAUCUACCAAUUUCGCACCCACAAAGAGACAGCUAUACUUACCAUCAACCAGAACUAUGUCUCCAACCUCCACAUCAUUCACAAAGUCAUCAUAGUUUACACUAACAGUGUCUUUUGUGCAAACUCCUCUUUUAAUUGUAAAGUUGAGCUCUUGUCCCUCUGCAAGCAGAAUUGGUUGAGGCACAUCCCCACUCCUAACCUCAGGACCCUACAUGAAUCAUAUAAAAAACUAUGACCUUAAAACUUUGAAUGGAAACCACAUAAAAAGAAGGUGGAAGAAUGAGGAUGAUCUAUGAAAGAGUAAAGACCCUGAGCACCUAACAACAGGCUCAUUACAAUAUGAGCAGGUGAAGAACGAGACGAAAAUGUAAUGUGAAUGUACCUUGGUGUCCAGCAUUAUGGCUAUAACCUUGUCUUUGAAUUGAGAGUUGUACUCUUUGACAAGAUCAAUGGUUUUCUGGUGCGACGUAUGGUCCCCGUGAGACAUAUUCAAACGCGCUACAUUCAUCCCAGUUUCUGCAAGUUUCCAUAUCAUUUCACGUGAGCUUGUGGAAGGACCAAUGGUACAGACUAUCUUAGUUUUUCUUCGGCCACAGGCAAAUGCCCUUCCCUGACCCACAUGGUAAUCAUCAUAAGACCGAAUUUCAUAAGUCAAGUUAACCCCCUGAAACAAAUCAACAACAUUUCACGGUUACAACUUCAAAGCACUCACGACUGAUACUACCAAUGCACUCUCACGGCAAACGUUCCCUCACUACACAGCAAACAAAAAAGUAGGCAGUUCAACUAAUUCAACAAAUUUGACAACUAAAUUUCCAAGUUUCUUCUUUUAGCCUAAGCUUUCUAAGAGCAUAGAUCAUAACAAACUAACAACAUAGGUGUUUCAAGCACACUUCAAGCAAAAGACACACUUUCUGCCAAUGUUGCCAAGCAAUUUUGAAACCCAUGAUCUCAAAUUUCGAAAGUAUCAAUCUUUCAACAGUCUAACUAAACAAGCAAUACAAAACAAACUCAAGGAAACACAUGAAAUCAAUACAACAACCCAUAUUGAGAGAAAAGGGAAACUCACAACACCACCAACAGGGCCAUUAGGAGAGGCAGGACUGCCUCCACUGCUCUGCUGGGUGAUCCUCACUGAUCUAACACUGAACAUUUGCUUCCGGUCAUUUUCUCUCUUGGGUCUGUAGUCAAAGACAAUAGAUUCUCCCAAACUCUUGGAGGAAGCCAACCGAUCAGUGGACCAUGUCCGGUCAGGCUUCAGGGACAUCCUGGCCGGAACAUUAAGAGUCGUCAUUGAACAAAAAAAAAAACAACAAAAAAAAAGCUCUGAUGGUAUUGGUAGACUCGAAAAAAGUGAGAGGUUAGGAGACAAAAGGCAAAGGGUGUGUUUAUGUGGUGAAACGGAAGAGAAGGAACACAAGGACGAGAGAGAGUCUCGUUAACAAGUAACGAAGAGGAGGCAGUGAGUCCAGGUAUACUUGUUUUGCUUGUUUACUAACUAUUUUGGACAGUUGCCCCAGUCUUGGACAGACUCACUUGUUUCCUCUGGCAUAUUCUGCAGUAUAAAGCCUUUCGUGUUUUUCUCAUUCUUUUUGGCUGCAUUGCGGGACCGGUCCUCUUUAUUUUUCAUAUUUUAUUUUAUUAAGGGUAGAAGAGUCUUUUGCCAUAAAACCUAAGUGAUUGUCGACCGGAAUACUAACUCGGAAUAUAUAUCGUCCACCUGGACGGCCCCCUGUCCAUUUUUAUACAGGGCUUCUAGAGUAACAAUCACUAUUAAAAGUAGAUAUUACAAGAGAAGCUCAUAUUCUCGUUAAGAAAGCACAUGCUCGUGCACAGUAAAACAUACAACAUUUUUCAUAUCCUCUUAAUUUUAAGGUCAGUUUCAAUUGAUGUAACGUCACAACACACGAAAGUAAAUUUACCGAUCACUUUUAUUUACCCACCCUAAUACCCACACACCUCGUUUUAUGACAUGUGUCAUUUUUGUUAAGAGUGUGGCUAUUGAGACCUCCAAAUUUACUCACUAUACCUCUCAUUCUCUCAACAUCUCUCUUUUACUUUUCAAUAUAAGUAUUUGCUUACUACACCUCAUUUUAAAUUUCUAACACAACCUUAGUUAUUUAUUGAUAUAUAUUUCAAUCAAUUAAUUACCUCUUAUUCACUCAAUAGACCUCUCAUUCUUUGUUUUUUUUUUUCCUCUCUUUUUAUUUUUCAACAUCCAUUAUGCCUAUCUUCAUUUUUUGCUUACUUUUUUCAUGCAAGAAAAUGUUCUAUCAUGAACUAUUCUAUAUAUCUUUUUAAUUGUUUUUCUCUUUUGUACUUUCUCCAUUUUUUUUUCUUUUGAAUAAUUUGAUCUCUGUUUUGUACCUCAUAAUAAAUUAUUUCAAUAAAUAUAUAUUUUCAAUAAAUAUAUAUUUUCUAAAAAUCGAUAGAUAUUUUUUUUGUACAAAUAUUUAUGCACCUUGCAAGUAUAUGCAUUCAACAUGUAUGAUAAUACAAAAUUGUAUGUCUCAUAAUCGAUAUUGAUUAUUUUCUUAGCUCUUAUAAACUAUAUAUAUGCUUUAAUAAUAAAAAUAAAUUGAAAAACAAAAAUAUAUAAAGAAAAUAAUAAAGAAUAGAAUCAAUUAUUAUUGAAUUAGAAAGUCUAAAAAGAAUAAAUAUAAUAUUUUCUUUUGUAUAAUUAUUGUCCAUAAUAGUCAUUGUGUAUAAGGAUGUAUAUGUCAUUUAAUAAUUCACAAUAAAAUGAGGUCUAGUGAGCAAAUUUAGAGGUCUCAAUAGCCGCACUCUUUUGUUAACUAUACUAAACCAUGGUUAACAAACAAGAAUAAAUAAAUAUUGUUUUCUUUUCAUUUAUAAAUUUCGUAACAACACUAGUGUUUUUAAUAAAAAAAAGCAACAUGUCCGUCACAACACUAGUGAUUUUCCUUGCUAUUAUAAAUUCUAAUGAGAAUUCGUGCAUGACCGAGUUUUAAAAUCUCGAAACAACUUUUUUUUAUUAUUACAUAAAUUUUAACUGCGGAAAUCGAACUCAUAAUCUUUCACUUAUUAAAUGAGAGACUAUGCCACUAGAUUAAAUGGUAUUGGACAAUCUCAAAACUACUCGUACAUUAUUCGUUAAAAAAGUGUAUCUUUUUGUUAAUUUCUUAUUUCUUUCUCCGGCUGUAAAAAGAAAAACACAAUUCGCGCAGUUCCAGUCCCCGAACCCAAUCAAAACUUGAAGACCCUGCUGUUGCUGCUGCUGCUCCUCACCGAGUCACUGGUCCUAUUCACACAGAAAAUCAAAAAUGAAGAUCUCCAAGACGACCAAGACGCCCAACACUACCGCAACUCUCUUCUAAGAACUAACCAUUCACUUCUUCAAUCGCCGCCGUCCCUUCCUCCACCUCCUCCUAUCAUCUCAAGGUAACCCCUUUGCUAUUUUAGUAAUUUACACCCACAUUGGGGAUUAGGGUUUUAAUUUUAAUUUUAAUUUUAAUUUUUUACCGACUCCUUUUCGUGAGAGAGUAGGAAAUCCAGAUUGAAUUAGGAUUUGCAAUAUUAAUCAGACUAUAUAAGAUUGAGUUGCAAUAUUUACCCAAAAAAAUAUAAGACUGAGUUGUAGUAGAGGAAAAGUUGUAAAUAUUGAGAAUGGGAGUUCCGGCUUUCUAUAGAUGGUUAGCGGAGAAGUAUCAGCUUGUUGUUGUAGAUGUGGUGGAGGAGGAACCCAUUGUGAUUGAUGAUGUUUCGAUUCCGGUUGAUACCUCCAAACCCAAUCCUAAUGGUCUCGAGUUUGAUAAUUUAUACCUAGACAUGAAUGCCAUUAUCCACCCUUGUUUUCACCCUGAGGAUAGGCCGAGUCCGACCACAUUUGAUGAGGUGUUUCAGUGCAUGUUUGAGUAUAUUGAUAGGCUUUUUGGGAUGGUGAGGCCGAGGAAGGUGUUAUACAUGGCCAUUGAUGGAGUUGCCCCCAGGGCAAAGAUGAACCAGCAGAGGUCACGGCGGUUUAGAGCUGCGAAAGACGUAGCUGAUGCUGCGGUGGAGGAGGAGAGGCUUCGUGAGGAGUUUGAAGCAGAAGGGAGGAAGCUCCCGCCUAAAUUAGAGUCACAGACUUUUGAUUCCAAUGUCAUUACGCCUAGGACUCCUUUUAUGGCUAUUUUGUCGGUUGCAUUGCAGUACUAUAUUCAUCUUAGGUUGAACAAUGAUCCUGGGUGGAGAAAUGUUAAGGUUAUUCUUUUUGAUGCAAAUUCUCCGGGUGAAGGGGAACAUAAGAUUAUGUCAUAUAUUCGUCUUCAAAGAAACCUUCCUGGUUAUGAUCCUAAUACGCGUCAUUGUUUGUAUGGUUUGGAUGCCGAUUUGAUUAUGCUGGCUUUGGCUACACAUGAAGUUCAUUUUUCAAUUCUUCGGGAGGUGGUUUACACUGCACAGCAAGACAAAUGCUUACUUUAUGGUCAGAUGGGGCAUUUAGCCGCAGAUUGCCAAGGAAAGGCAAAGCGUAAGGAUGUGGAUAUGCUUGAUGUUGAUCAGAAAGGUACUGGUGCUGAGGUUGUGGCCAAGAAGCCGUACCAGUUUCUCAACAUUUGGACUCUUAGAGAAUAUUUAGACUGUGAGAUGCGGAAUAUUCCAAAUUCCCCAUUCGAGAUUGAUCUUGAGCGCAUUAUCGAUGACUUCAUAUUUAUUUGUUUUUUCGUUGGAAACGACUUCCUGCCGCAUAUGCCUACUCUGGAGAUUCGUGAGGGUGCAAUCAACUUGCUUAUGGCUGUAUACAAAAAGGAAUUUCAUGCACUGGGUGGAUAUUUGACUGAUUCAAGUAAGCUGAAUUUGAGUCGGGUGGAGCAUUUCAUUCAGGCAGUUGGUUGUUUUGAAGAUAAAAUAUUCCAGAAACGAGCUCAGUUGCAUCUGCGGCAGGCACAAAGAAUCAAACGUGCCAAGGAGCAAGUUCCCCAAGUGCAGCCAGAUUCUUUAGUUGCAGUUAAUCGAUUUCAAGGUUCUCGUCUUGCUUCAGGUCCUUCUUCUGCGCCAUAUCAACAGUAUACUAGAUUAUCUGGUAGGGGAAAUCUUGAAAAAGUUGCACGCUUGUCUUCAGAGGCAUCAAGUAUCGGUGCUGCUAUUGUUGAAGCUGAGAACAGCAGUACUCCUGAUGUCGAAGAACACAAAAAUAAAGAAGAUUUGAAAGCAAAGCUCAAGGAGGUUCUUCGUGAGAAAUCUGAUGCUUUUAACUCUAAAAGCCCCCAAGAGGAAGACAAGGUCAAGUUGGGAGCACCUGGUUGGAAGGAUAGGUACUAUGAAGAAAAGUUUUCCGCCAAAACUCAAGAAGAACGUGAAGCAGUUUGGAAAGAUGUUAUCUUGAGAUACACAGAAGGUUUGUGUUGGGUGAUGAAUUAUUACUAUGAAGGGGUUUGUUCAUGGGAGUGGUUUUAUCCUUAUCAUUAUGCACCCUUUGCUUCUGAUCUUAAGGACAUAGGUCAGCUAAAUAUAAGCUUCCACUUGGGCACUCCCUUUAAACCCUUCAGUCAACUGUUGGGGGUUUUCCCAGCUGCAAGCGCUCAUGCCCUUCCUGAGAACUACAAAAAGUUAAUGAUUGAUCCAAACUCGCCUAUUAUUGACUUCUACCCUACUGACUUUGAAGUGGAUAUGAAUGGGAAACGGUAUGCAUGGCAGGGUAUUGCAAAGUUGCCAUUCAUUGACCAAGAUCGUCUUCUUUCUGAGGUUGCAAAAAUUGAACACACAUUGACAGAGGAGGAAACCCGGAGAAACUCCAUGAUGUUUGAGAUGCUCUUUGUUUCAUCUUCUCAUCCUCUCUCUGUAUGCAUAUACUUUCUUGAUGAUUGUAGUAGACAGUUGACAGACAAAGACCGAGUUGAGGCUAAGCAACAAAUUGAUCCUAAAUACAGUGAAGGGAUGAAUGGUUAUCUAUCUUCAUGUGCUGGACAGUCAUGUCCACCUAUUUUUCGGUCUCCUGUUAAAUACAUGGAGGAUAUUAUGGACAACCAAGUCAUCUGCGACUGUGACAGUGGGGGAUCUGAAGCCUGCACCUAAUCUAUGGCAUGAAGAUUCUGGGCAGAACCAUCCUAGAACCACUUCACAAAGACAUCUUGUAACACCCCAGGACUCAUUCCGCCGUAACACGAUAUUGUCCGUUUUGGGCCCACCGGCCCUCACGGUUUUGUUUCCGGCAGCUCAGGAGCAGCUUCCCAGUAGGUCACCCAUCUUGGGAUUGCUCUAGCAUCAACAUGCUUAACCUUAGAGUACCCAUCCCCUCCGAAGCCGCUGAGCCACCAAAAGGCCUCGUGUUAGAUUGGAGGUGGGCAUGUACAUAUACAGCACAUAACCCCUCUCCGUUUGGCCGAUGUGGGAUAUUACAAUCCACCCCCUUGGGAGUCCGACGCCCUCGUCGGCACACUCGCACCACACAGCAGAGUGGCUCUGAUACCAUUUGUAACACCCCAGGACCCAUUCUGCCGUAACACGAUAUUGUCCGUUUUGGGCCCACCGGCCCUCACGGUUUUGUUUCCGGCAGCUCAGGAGCAGCUUCCCAGUAGGUCACCCAUCCUGGGAUUGCUCUAGCAUCAACAUGCUUAACCUUGGAGUACCCAUCCCCUCCGAAGCCGCUGAGCCACCAAAAGGCCUCGUGUUAGAUUGGAGGUGGGCAUGUACAUAUACAGCACAUAACCGCUCUCCGUUUGGCCGAUGUGGGAUAUUACAAUCUGAUACCAACUGUCAUGACCCACCCCGAAUUUCACCCUGAAACUCGAAGUAAAUCCUGCGGGGACCACCUCCAAGGAAAAUUUACCGAAAAUUCGGCAUAACCUCCCUUGAAAAUGGACAACCCUUCCUAAAUAAAACACCUGCAAACACUUCUAAAAGUUCCAACUCCAACCUUAACUCCUGGAGCCUUCGAGCUCCCCACAAAUCACAACAUCUCCCAAAAUAGAUUCACUAAUCUAACAAAUAAUCCUAUAACCAACAACCACAAAUUCAGAGCAACUCUACUUGAGAGGAGAGGAACUAGAAAUAAAUAGAAAUAAGCGGAAGCUAUACUAUUGACUAUGCCUCUUCACCAUGUACGCUCAGCCUCACUAUGCUAACCUGCAACUGGGCAUUUAUAAAACGAAGAGCCCAGGGGAAAACAUUUGAAACCGUUAGAGUGAGUGGACAAAAACAUAAAUUUAAUGAAAAUAUUUAUGCUUUCCCAAUUUACAUUUCCAUAGAAAUAUGCUGCAUGCGACAGCUCAAAAAUGCUCAACACAAAAACUGGCAAUUUCAUGACUAGCUCCGGCCAGUCUCCAAAGCUCAAUAAAAUACAGCCUCUCAGGCUAAAAUAAAAUAUGUAUGUAUUACAUUUGUCAUAUCCCUUAUAUGAAUUUUCUUGAAACAACAAAGACAAAUAGAAAAUUCACACAAGGCUACGACGCUUGCGUCUAACGCUCACGUCGCACCAUAAUGGCAUUUUAUCUCAUUAUGGUGGAAAAGACGGUGUAUAAAUAUAUACGCGCAUAUCCCCUAUAUAAAUUAUUAUAUUUAUAUAGGGCUACAACGAUUGCGUCUAACGCUCAAGUCGCACCAUAAUGGAAUUUUUACCUCAGUAUGGUGGAAAAGCACGUAUAGUUAGCUAGCAUUCCCUCAUAUACAUAUUAUUCUCAUAAUCAUCCAAAUAUGGAUAUAUAUACAUACUCACCGAAAUUCUCAAUUUCGGUUAUUCUCCAACAAUAAUGAAAAUUGCCAAUUAUCAUAAAAAGCAAUACGCACACGACUCUACCGAAAAUCUCAUUUUCGGUAACUUUCCAAAUAACACGAUAGCCAUUAAAAAUGAGAACAUUUACUUCUGAAAAUGACUUCGCGAAAAUAGACAAAUCCAUAAAUUGAUAUUCAAUAAAAUCAAUCAUUUAAUGUAGAAUCACCGUAUGCAUAUAUUUUAAAACAAAAGUCCACUCACAACUUUAGGCCUAAGCCUGACGUCGAUCCGAGGUCUCUUUUGCUUGAGCCUCCUCACGUCCUGUUUCCAAAAGUAAGAUUAAUUUCCCCACUAAUACUCCAAACAUUUACAAAAUAGGCAAAAUUAAACGUGAGCCAACCACGCUCAUCAUUGCCUAAUUUCGAUAUUCCUAAUUCGAAAUGCUCCAAACUUCACCGGAAAAAAAAUGGCAGCCUUAGCACAACCUUCAUAGAUUAUACGACUUUAAUCUAAUGGCCGGAUUCUACAUUAAUUAACCGCCAAAAAUACUCGGAAAUUCACAAACCUAACCAAAACUCCUCCAAAAAUUCUAUAAUCCACUUCAUUAAACUCCUUUAAUUAUUACACAUUUAAAACCAUACAAAACUCCCAAACAGCGGCGGCCGGAGGCCUAUUCCGGCGACUUCCAAUGCCUACCAAAUUUUAACAGCAGUUUCAUCUCAACAUCCCAAACAACUUUCGUAACUAUCACUAAGUCCAAUUUCAAGCCUAAAUAGGGUAAUCAAAUCAAAACAUCCAAAAAUCACCCAAUUCAAACCCUAGCCCGAAAAUCGUCCUACACACUUCGAAUUGGAUCAUUACCUUCUAGGGAAAUGCUACACACGGAGAGCACUUCCAAAUGGAACUGAAAUCAUCAGAAAUGGUGGCCGGAAGAGCGAGUUCCGGCGUCGGGACUCCACCACGCAGCCGAAGCUUCCGGGCGAGCUCUCUCCUUCACGGCGGCGCUAGGGCAGCUCCCACCGGUCCAAGAAGAAGGCUGGGUCGACGGCCGACCGUUUGGGACCGGUGCGCCGGUCUAUGGUGGCCGGACGGCGGCGGACGGCCAAGAAGAAUUCCGGCAGCAAGAGAGAGAGAGAGAGAGUCGGGGAAGAGGAGAGAAGAGAAAGAGAAGGAAAAGAGAGGGAGGGAAUUGGGCCUCCCAACCGGUCCAACCCAUUAUAACCACACCAACUCCAAAAAUAAAACACCCCGAAAAAAUACCCCAAUAAAAAUUACCUUUUACUAGCUAAAAUUUACUAUUUUUACCGUCGUCAAAUUUUUCUCCUACGAAUAAUUCUCCGAAAUAAUCGUCCCUCAAAACCCCUCUAGGGACCAAUUAAACCAUAAUUUAUUGACGGAGACGGUAAAAUUCUUAUUAUAAUCAAGCUAGUAAAUAAGGUAAAAAUUUAAGGGUCGGGAUGUGACACAUCUUGGGGAUGCUGCACAUCGACCGGUUGUUAAUAGCUUACAGGUGAGGGUAGACAACAAUAGUUAUGCUAACCAAAUGCAUGCCCAUCGACCACUGUCUCAUGCAGGGCCUCAAUAUUACCCAUUUUACUCUUCCUACAAUGAUCAGGGACUACUUGGAGUGCCACCACCUAGAACAUUUCAGCAACAUCAAGGUCAACACUACCAAAAUUCAAGUUUCACUGGUGAACGGCAUUCAUCAUUAGCUGUGUACAAUGCUCAGAAUAGAUCUUCUCUGGGCACCCUUACUAUCAGUCAGGAAGACAUCUGAAUGGUGGGCUCAUUUACCCUCAGAGACCUAUGACACAAGCUCCUCCAGGCUCGAGACCUUCUCAAGGAGUUUAUAACAAGUAUCAAAGUUACUAGCCAUCUGGAGCGCCUCGUUAUCAAAGGUUUUGAUGGCGGGAUUCCACAGAUUAGUCAGAAUACAGGCAGAAGGUAUGGUACAGGAAAGAGUAUGUUCAUUGAAUUAGGUCCAGGACAUCGAUUAGGUUCUGUACAUUGUCAUAUAUAUCUUAAUGUACAUUCCACAGGCACAAGAUUAGUUGCAUUAUUACUUUUCAUCAGUGACUGUAGAUUGAAAUAUUUUUGUUCAGUUCAUUCUGGUGUUGAGAAGAGUUGUAUAUUCCUAAUUCUUUUUAAAAGUCUUAACUACAGAACUAUAUUCGAGUUUUAGUUUCAAUUUGAACUUGGUUUCUUUUUCUUUAAGUUUAAUUUUAGCAAAAUCGCAUCUAUAUCAACAUUGCCUCAAACUAAUAAUAGAACACUGAAAAUCUACAUAAUCAAAGAAAACCAAAUAUUGCCAUAACUUAGCCACUAAGAGUCAGAAAAUUGACCAAACCUAACCAUUCACACUUCUUGAUCAAGAUUAGUUUGAAGGACGAGGCAUUGCAUUAUGAUCAUCACUCAUCAGAUCAUAUCUCGUUGCUGGGUUUAUGCCAUUGACACACACACAGAGACACGUUUAUUGCCUUCUAGUCAAUUUUCAUCUGUAAAAUUGUUAUAUACAAUUUAUUGGCCACCUUGAUGGACAAGAAAAAGUUCGCUUUUCGACACAUACUUUAUCUAUCUAUUGCUUCUUUCUGAUCAUUCUUUUUGUAUAAAACUAUCUAUCUAUCUAUUGCUGUGGUGGACUGCCUUCAAUCUGUGCUCGCAUAGAGGUGGAACUGAUCACGCAUUGCCACCGUGAACUCAGUUCCACAAAAGCAACAAAACUUGGAGCUCUGCUUGGAAAACUUAGCUAUCUAUCGUACAAGUAUCUUGCCAUUUGAAUUAUCCUGUUCCAGACACUUCCGUCACUUCACUGCUUUGACAUGCUUCCUGUUGUUGAAACUUCUUCAACAAGAUAAUAAAUGAUAACAGAAGGCAAAUCGUGGAAGUAGCACCGGAUAAUACAUAGAGGGCCAUAAAAUUCUUGAGGCUCAAACUAUCUGGUCCAUCAGAAGUUGCAUUGUUUGAACACUCAUGAUUGGGUGUUAACGAUCUUCAAGUAACUUCAGUUCUCCAUUCUCCAGUAACUAGAAUUGCCUUGGUGAAAUACUGAAUUUACGGGCAAUUGGAGACCCUUUCUGAAAUAUCUGCAAGGUACAUAUUUAUAAUUAGUUGGUUGAUUAGAAUCUGGUUUUAUUUCUUCUAGUUUAGACAAUUAGACAUAGUUUACUUCAUCUGUCAUGAAAUAUAUAAAGAAUAGUACAAGAGGAACAAUAUAGUCACUACUCACAAAGCCUAGUCCUCCCAAUUUAAAGAUCAUUAUAGGACAUGUGUAAUCUUCCAUUUUUAAGAGCUUAAAAUUUUAGACCUGAUGGAUACAUUCUGCACAAAUGCAUACCGUUAUUCAAAUGACAGUAGUCUUAUUCUCCUUCUAACGGUGGGAAAACUCUCUUAUUAUGACCAUGAGCAGAUUUAUCUCGAGUGAAGAUGUUCAUUGGCCGGUGAAGAACCAAAACCAAGUUUGAGGUCAAAGAUUUUAGGUUUAUGAGUAUCAACCAUAUUAAUGUUUUGUUGUAUCACAAAGACAUCAUUCUCUAAUGGGAUACUUACAACCUUUGUAUGUGUAACCAUAUUGAAACUCUGACAUUGAUUAGUUUAUAUUCUCUUUAGGAGAAUCAUGUCACUUAGGUACAUAUGCCCACAGAUUGAAUGUGUUAAUAUGGUUUGUCUCUAGGACUUUAACCCAAGCAAAUGCCAUAGCAUUUACAUAAAAUUUUAUCAAGAUCUUUUCUCAACUCAUUUGCUGAGAUAUUUCUCAAAACCAAAAUAAGAUGAUGAAUAGACAAUCUUUCUCCCCCUCAUGACAAGAGGAGUGUCUCAUUGAGGUGAUGACAACGUACUCGAAAAUGCGGCAUAUAGACUAGUGGUUAUCAAAACUUGUAACUCAUUCAACAUAACACUCUCGGUAAAUUAUGACUUAGCUAGUCAUGUCUGGUUUCAAUGAACUUUUGGUUCAUGAUAUUAUAUGUCUUAAGUUAUUGUAGAAAUUUAACACUGUAUGCACUCUUCUGAGCCAUCAAUGAUACAUAUAAUCAAAGGUUUGAGUUUGAAAUUUACUAUUAGAACUUCGGGUUCUACAGUAAAAUAUUUUGAAACUUCUGGUUCAAAAAUAUUACACUCGAAAUUCAUAUGAUUGAGAUGUAGGGUUGUUGGCCCGAAUGAAUAAUAAUAAAAUUUAAAUGAAAGUAUUGUAACGAAAGUGCAUAACAAAAUGAGAAAAUUGUAAUGAACAUAAAUAAAUAAACUUCACAUUGGAAACUUCUGGUUCCAUAGAUGAAGAAAAAACACAGAACUUCACCAAAUAUGAUAAUCUUAACUUCGCCAAAUAUGAUAAUCUUGAUUUACUGAUCUCCAUAACAUAAUAUCAUAUAAGGUGAGGAACUUCAAGCCCUCAUAUGAUUCAAAAUGUGGUUUUGAUCAUUGUAUAACUGUGAGGAACUUCUGGUCCUUGUUAAUCGCGUAAGCUUUGAGAGACUUCAUGUCACAAUUUUGAUUAUUGUUCUUACGAGGAACUUCAAGUCCUCUAUUGUUUGAUCAAGAGACUUCAGGUCUCGAUCUAUGAUCACACAAUUCACAACUAGGUGUAACCAUGAGUUUACUCUCAAAUAAUAAAAUUGGAACAUAUCGUGAAAUAUACAAAUUGACAAAUACAUCCAUUCGGUCAUAAAACUAAAACCAGGAUCAUCACCAAAUAUUAACAAAUUAAAAUACAGUAGAAUAAUUGAAACGCGUCUCUAACCAUACUGAUUGACGAAUAGAAGAUUUAAAGAUAACAUAGAUCGGCUAAACUAUUAUCAGAGAUAUUGAAAAACUCAUAGAUCAAGAAAGUUUAUGGCUAGGCAACAAAAUCAUCCCAUAUGACUCAUGGAUCAUCAUAAAGUACAACAAUAAAGACGAAAAACAAAGUAUGAUCGUGUAAAAGUGAACGGCAAAAAUCAGUUUUGGUUUUCUAGGGUUAAUCGUUAUCAACACGACUCUAUCUUUUGAGUUGAUAACGUGUUGUACAGUAAAGAAAAGAAUACACAGAAAGAAUAGUUGGGAUGAGGUGGAAGUGUACACAUUAAUUCUCACUAGCCUCCUUAUAUAGAGGUAGAAUUUAUACGGAGUACAUAACUAACAAGUAAUUACGUGGACAACCACAUAAUUUAUAAUAUUUAUAACAAAUAAGAAAUUUUAUGUUUUUUUAGAGAGUAAGAAAUUUUAUGGUAAUAUCAAAGUUAUCCUACUUUUUUGAUGUUCAAUAUUUCCGGUGUGUGUUCAGUGUAACCUUUACAUAAAAAUACCCCCAGUUUGAUUCUUCUUCCUCUCAGUUGCCGAUUCUAAACCCCCUAAAACCCAUGGCCUCCUUUGCCGCCAGGUCCAUGCUCCGCUCCGCCGCCGCCAGAACCACCACCCUAGGUUCUCGGGUCGCCUCCGCUGCUCGACCAAAACCCGCCUCCGCACCAUUCAGCAUCCCCAAGCAAAACAAAAACCCCAUCUCUCACGCCAUUUUCAGGUACCAAACCAUAAACCCUAAAUUUUUGUUAUGAUUCUUCGCUUUCAGUUUUGACAUUAUUGAAAAUCUUGUUUGAUUGAGCUUGUGAAGGUCGCCUGUGGAGUUGAGCUGCUGCGUGGAGACGCUGCUUCCCUAUCACACUGCCACAGCCUCUGCAUUGCUUACUUCCAUGCUCUCUGUCUCGCAACGCUCCUGCGGUUGGACCCCUGAAGGUAUUCCCUUUCUGCAUUUGAAUCGAUUAUGUGGAAUUUGUGAAACUGUGGUUGAUAGUUGCUGAAAUGUGUUGUGUGUGGCAUUGGAAUUAGAAUUUACCGAGUUAGUAUAUGGUGUGUUCAAUCUUGUUUCGUUUUGUGUACAUUACAAGUUAUGUCAUCUAGUCUUGUAAUAUGAAGAGAAAAGUUCAUGGCUUUAACUGAUAUUUGUCUGUCUGUUGAUAUAAACUUAUGGAAGCAAUGUUCUUUCUGAUAUUUUAUGUGUAAAUUCAUUGCUAAAUAUGUCAGCUUUCUAACUAGAUUUGCGUGUGUUACAGUAUAUAAUUCAAUUUGGUGCAUAUAGUUGUUAUAUUCAUCAUCUGCAAUAGUCAUGAGGGCGGACUUCAUUGCCCCUUAGAGAUACUAGUGGUGUUGAAGCUGGAAUAAUUUAGUUUGUUUAAAUAUUUGCAAGAGCAGCACACACCCCAAAAGCUUUUUUUUGGUUGCUUCAUUCGUUUAUGGAGCAUAGGAAUCGUUUUAUGUAGUCCAUUAUUAGUUUGGUCACUAUUUGAUCUUUCUAUUCUAGGAAGUUGGAGUCAAUUAGGUCAUAAUCAAGGCUGUGAAUUGUAGAUGACAACCAGACUAGAAAGACUAGUAAAAUACGCAAAAGAAAUAUUUUGGUUAAUGAUUGGAUUCAUGGUCUGAAUCUUGAGUUUGCAGAGUGAAAUAGGGUUUUGUUUACUUUUUAUAUUUUAUAUUUUUAUUUUUGUCUGAAGCCCAGUGAUAUAUAGAAGCGAAUAUCGAGAUUUAUGCCCUGAAGAGAAUGGUAAAAGAGAUGAAAAUGGGUAGAGAAAAUAAAGUGAUUUUCUUUGUUUAACCUCUGAUGAUCAUCUUCAAGCAUUUUGACAGCUAGGUGGCUAGUCGUCUAUAAAAGAUAAACCUGAAUUAGACUUAUCAAGAAUGCAUCUUUUCGCAUUACUUAGGUCUACAUUUUAAUUGUGUUGAGUUUUUUAUUAGGUGCAAGCACAAAUUUAUAAUUUUAACCUACAAUCUAGGUGGCCUAAUUGUUUUACCUUUCAAUUGCUAGAACGCAUCUUUUCACAUUACUUACGUCUACAUUUUAAUUGCGUUGAGUUUUCCAUUAGGUGCAAGCACAAAAAUAUAAUUUUUACCUACAAUCUAGGUGGCCUAAUUCUUUUUCCUUUCAAUUGUUUUCUUUUUCUGAGAAGGGGGUUGAUGUUAGAUGAUGAUGGCUGGAAGUGUGGCCAGGACAUUUGCAUUAAAUUGUGUGAGACCAUUCUUUUUGUCCUUUUUUUUUUUUUUAAUUUUCAAAUUUCCUUAUUUCCAUUGGGUGAUCCCAUCCUCUACAUUUUUCCUGUCUUGCACAAUGAAAGAAUGCAUGUGCUUUGUCUUUUGUAGGGCAAGACAAGACUAGAUGAGGAUGAAGCAUCAAAUAUGGAGUGAUUUGGAUAUGUAUUUGUUGUCAACUAUUGAGAGUAUUUAUUGGUUACUGUUCUCCAGUAGACUAGAUGAGAAGACCCUCAACUUAAAGUUAUGUGGACAUUUGAGAAGAUGAACUCUAUGUUUGAUAACAAUAAAAUUUUAAGAAUUUGUCUUUUGCAAAUUUUGUGCAUUCCUUUUUGUUUGGUUGACAUAGCCACGUUUACAUUCAGUAUAUAAUUCAAUUAGUAGACAUUACCCAUGCAGAAUUUUGAGUUUGUGUAAAAGUAAAUUUCAGAUUUGUGUGUCUAUGGCAGUUGUAUUUUAUUCAUAUGAUUUGUGCUGUUUUCUGCUGAUAUGAAGAAUAAAACUUUGAAUGGAAUUGCAUAAGGGUAUUCCAACAUGAAAACACUAGCUGAAAUUUUUUUUCUUGUCUUUGUUAUUCAUGUCAGUAUAAUCAUACAACGAAGUAAUAAUUUUAACAAUAAAAAUAACAAUACUAAUAUGUUGUAUUCACUCAGCUUGCAAUGAUGAAUGCUGAAUAUCAGACGGUUCCAGCAACAUUAUAUGUGAUUGCGCCCUAAGACAAGGUGGUAAAAUACAGCUUCUUACUAGGGUUUUGUAGAUGAUUCUGUGAGUUUCUAUAGCUGGACAAGGUGGAAAUGAUAAUCAGUCUGUAGUAUGAUGGUGAUGAUAACAUGUAUUGCACAUAUGUACAAUUUGGGUUCAUGUUAACCGAUGGUUUCUUCGUUGCAUUCUCUGACUAAAUGUUUUGAUUGUUAGUGGGUUGCUUCCACAUCAAAAAUUUGUCCUUAAUGUGGGAUUUCCUUUAAUUACUUCACAGGGUAGUUGAGUGAUUGUACUUUAUGGUCGUAGAAUAAUUUUGGGACAUGUCAAUACAGUAAUUAUUAUCCAAGAUGAGAACUUUGCAAGGAUGAGUGGCUGGAGCGAGAAAACAAAACUAUUUUUUGACUGUUAUGAGUUAAUCGUAUUCUUCCGGAUGCUGCCCCCUUCUCCUUUUAAAUCUUUCCUGAGCUCCCUUUGACUUUCACUGUUUCUUUGUUUAGGAACUGAUGAUUCCUAGUUAGCAGACUUCAGUGUUUGGCUUGGAGACUUAAAGGUGCACUUAUGUUUUACAUUGCCUAUAAAGGUUCACAGUGGUUCAGGCAGUUUUGCUCUUUUUCGGUUGCUGAGGAAAAACUCAAAUAGACUGCAUUGAGUUAUUGUUUGAUGCGAUGACUGUGUGAGAAUGUGAAUUAGUUUGGUGCCUUUGUGAUUUAUUUUUUCUGUUCAUUAAUUUUUUCAUUUAAUCUGUGAGAAUGAAGUUGUACUGAACCUUUUCGGGUUAGAAAAUGUAGACAAAGUAAAGAGAUGCAAGAGUCUCUAGACUUUGUUAGAAGCAAUAGUGAAAGGAAAAGUCAUAGUGUUUUGAUUUUCUAGCACGAGUGAGCAGGUUAUAUAUAGAACCUUGUCAGGCCAGGUUAUGCAUUUGGUUCCUUUUAGCGUUCAACGCACAUAGAACGGCAAGAUUAACUAUCUAUUAACUAAUUAGUGUGGAAAGAAUUUCGUAUCUCUGACUUGGGGAAUGUGGAAUUAAGUUGACAUCAUGAGUCUUGAGGGUUGGGAAUGAAGAUGAACAGAUCUUUUCUUUAUACAAAGAUGAACAGAUGUUACAGAUCUUUGCAACAUCAAAGUUGAUCAUUUCUUCAUUUGGUACGUGUAAUAGCAGUGGUGAACUGUAUUCAAUCUGGUAUGCUUCUUGUAAUUGCAGUCAAUGCAGUGAUAAAAGGAUACAUGAGGAUUUUGUUUUAUAAUUAAUGCAAGUCGUUGCCAGUGUCCUAAUCCGUCAAACUUCCUUUUGAUAUACAUGCUUAGCUGCUGCAAGUUAUCCCGUGGUUGAGAGGAAAUUCAAGUUCCCUUGUUGUCAUAACCAGCUAGAAUUAUUAUGGAGCAUCAUUUUCAUGCGGGCUAUAAGCUUGAACUGCAUGAAGUUUGGAUUGGAUACCAUGGUCUUUGGCUUCCAUGAUAUGUUAAAAGUGAAAAGUAUUCAGCUCAAAAUCGAUUACAUUAUAUCACUUAGCGGUCUUAGCCCGUGAAACAGUUGAGUUCCGUUCAAAAAAAAAAUGUUCGAGUCAUUUCUAUGCAUCUAUUUUGGUUAUCAACCUGGUUACCAACUGAUCAAGAAAAUCAUUCUCAACUAUCAUUGGACAUAAAUCUAAGGUCUCGUUUGUUUUACGGAAAAUAGACAUCAGAAAAUUUUUCCUGUGUCUGGGGAAGCAGAAGGAAAGAAAACACUAUCCUAAUUGUAAGAAAAAUGUGGGGAAAAUGGUUCCUUUCAAAAUCCAAAAGAACCACUUUUCUUCAUUCUUUCCCUGUAUUUAUUACUCACAACUUAAUAUUUUAUUAUUAUAAUUAUCAAUUUUCCCGAUGACUUUCCUUAUGUUACCAAACAUCGGAACGAAAAGUUCUUAUAAAAUUUCAUUCCCGUUCACUUUCUCUUCUCAUAAGAAAGAUGAAGGAACUACUUUUUCUUCCGUGAACCAAACGAGGCCUAAUAGUAGAGAGAAUGGCCUUGUAUUCUUGUUCUCUUCCUUUAUGUACGCUUUGCUUUCUUUUGCUUUGCCCAGGUGAAUGAAUUUCAUCAUUAUUGACCCCAAAAAAAAAAAUCAUUCUCAACUAGAGAAUUAUUUUCAAGUACAAUCAUUUAAUUUUUCACCCUUGGAUGUAAAUGUAAGAGUUAUUAAGUAUUUUUAUUUGGUCAAGUUGAUGACCAGGCAAACUCUACUGCUACUUUAGUUUGUCUUUAUUCUUUAACUUCGUACGUCACUAAUUAUUUUUAAGAAAAAUUCCCACAAGCCCUAAAUUCAGAGUAAUUUUUCCUACUAACAAAAUAAGAUUUUAAAAUGCCCAUCAACCCAAUAGACUCUUAAGAUCUACUCCCAUUAACAAAAAUUUUGACUUUUUGUUGUUUUUUUCCUUGACGAGAUUACCCCUGCCUCUUAUCUCUUUUUCUAUAUCCUCUCUCAUCUCUCUCUCUCUCUCUCUUUUUCUCCUCUCACGGAAAUCUAACUCUCUCUCUCUCUCACUCUAAAAAAGGCAAAGGCUCAUCUCUCUCAUCCUCCGCCGUCUACGCCGUCACCAACGNNNNNNNNNNNNNNNNNNNNNNNNNNNNNNNNNNNNNNNNNNNNNNNNNNNNNNNNNNNNNNNNNNNNNNNNNNNNNNNNNNNNNNNNNNNNNNNNNNNNNNNNNNNNNNNNNNNNNNNNNNNNNNNNNNNNNNNNNNNNNNNNNNNNNNNNNNNNNNNNNNNNNNNNNNNNNNNNNNNNNNNNNNNNNNNNNNNNNNNNNNNNNNNNNNNNNNNNNNNNNNNNNNNNNNNNNNNNNNNNNNNNNNNNNNNNNNNNNNNNNNNNNNNNNNNNNNNNNNNNNNNNNNNNNNNNNNNNNNNNNNNNNNNNNNNNNNNNNNNNNNNNNNNNNNNNNNNNNNNNNNNNNNNNNNNNNNNNNNNNNNNNNNNNNNNNNNNNNNNNNNNNNNNNNNNNNNNNNNNNNNNNNNNNNNNNNNNNNNNNNNNNNNNNNNNNNNNNNNNNNNNNNNNNNNNNNNNNNNNNNNNNNNNNNNNNNNNNNNNNNNNNNNNNNNNNNNNNNNNNNNNNNNNNNNNNNNNNNNNNNNNNNNNNNNNNNNNNNNNNNNNNNNNNNNNNNNNNNNNNNNNNNNNNNNNNNNNNNNNNNNNNNNNNNNNNNNNNNNNNNNNNNNNNNNNNNNNNNNNNNNNNNNNNNNNNNNNNNNNNNNNNNNNNNNNNNNNNNNNNNNNNNNNNNNNNNNNNNNNNNNNNNNNNNNNNNNNNNNNNNNNNNNNNNNNNNNNNNNNNNNNNNNNNNNNNNNNNNNNNNNNNNNNNNNNNNNNNNNNNNNNNNNNNNNNNNNNNNNNNNNNNNNNNNNNNNNNNNNNNNNNNNNNNNNNNNNNNNNNNNNNNNNAUUUGGUGAUCGUUAAGGCUUCAAAAGUCAAUUUAGUUUUAAUGACCUUCAACGGUUUUAGUUUGACAUAAGCUGGACCGUUCAAAAUCAUUAAAACUAAAUCAAACUUUUGAAAGUCUUAACGAUCACCAAAUCAUAUGAAAUUUUGUAGAGGUGAUCUACUCAUAUAGACUUAAGAUAUGAACGGUGGAGAUGUAAAAAUUCAAUUGGGAAGUGGUGUAAUGCCCUAUCCCUAGAAAGUGGCCAAAAAUAGAGAUCCCUCAAUGGAAGGGGGCUAUAUAUAUAUUAUGUUUUCUUAAGUUUCUGUUUAGCUUGAUGCGACCGUGAUAAAAUAAAGCAUGCUCCAGCAAAAAAAUGAUUUAGUUGUUUAAUUAGUUGUGUGAAAGUGCUUGCUUGACUAAUUAAUUAGAUGAGUUCAUUGACCAAUAAUUAAUCUGUACAGUUGAAGAGUAAAAGAAGACAAUAUAUACAGAUGACUAUGUUUAUAUGUUUCAGGUGUGCUACUCAUGAAUCUCUCUCUUUUUCGAGUGAUGAGUCUGAAUCUGAAUGGUAUUGCUUGCUAUGAUUGUAGAACUAGAAUAAUACAAGUGUAUAGCAUGAUAAUGCGUUGUGUCAAGUAUCUUGAACAUAAUCUAUUAAUUAAAUAGGAUUGAUGAUAUAUUAAAUAAGGGUUUGGUGGUGGAUAAAACACAGGUCGUUUGUUCCUACUGCCUCUAGUAGACCCUGGGCAUACCCUUCUACUAUCCCCAGUAGACCCUCUUACUGCUCCUAGUAGACCCUGGGUAGACCCUCCUACUACCCCCAGUAGACCAUUCUACUGUCCUCAGUAGACCCUCCUACUGCCCCCAGUAGACCCUGGGCAGACUCUCCUACUAUCCCUAGUAGACCCUCCUACUGCCCCUAGUAGACCCUGGGCAGACCCUCCUACUACCCCUAGUAGACCCUUCUACUAUCCUCAGUAGACCCUCCUACUGCCCAUAGUAGACCCCUGGAUAGACCUUAUGCAUAUUGCCUCCAAAAGACCCUCUACUGUCCUCAAUAUACCCCCCAAUAGACCCCAUACUGCCCCUAAUAGAACCCCUAGCUUUCGUCGGAGUCCGGUCAACAGUCGUCGGAACCCGGACAACGUCAUUGGCCAUGGGAAUCCUGUUCUAGAAUCUUGUUUUGUUAAUAGAUUUUUAUAAUGGUCUAUUGUAGUUUAUUUAAUUCAUUAAGGGUAUAAUUGUCUUUCUGUUAUUUAAGUUGGCUCUUGAGAAUUUUAAAAUCUAAUUUUGUUCGUGGGAAUAAAAUUCUUAAAAUUAGGACUAGUAGACAUUGUCCUUUAUUUUUAUUGUUUUUUGUCAGCUGUGCUAUAUAUAUAUAUAUUUUUUCAAUUUAUAUAUUUAAUCUGUACUUAGAAAGGUAUUUUUAGAAGUAACAAAUGAUAAAACUGUUAAUAAAUGUUCAUUGAUGAUAAAACAAUACAUCUAUUUAAAUUCCUUAAAGCGUUGCCCAUAAAAAUAAAAAUAAAUUACGAUCUAUGCCACUGACGAAAACCGUCGAAUUCUUAUCCGUCUUAAGGCAAAUCCACUCUCUUCCAUAUCUCUUCCAAAUCCCAAAUCCAUUUUAGAUCACCACCUCUCUCUCUCUCUCUCUCUCUCUCUCUCUCUCUCUCUCUCUCUCUCUCUCUCUCUCUCUCUCUCUCUCUCUCUCUCUCUCUCUCUCUCUCUCUCACAAAUCCGCCAGCGAUGAACCCUUCAUCAUUCCAACGCUACUCCUCGACCUUGCCAACUACGCCGACUAAGGCUGGGUUCCCGUUGACUACGCCAUACCACUGCCGGCGACAAGAAAUCAAAGGACGACGUCGAUGUACUGAAGGACGUGCUACUUCCAAUGUGGCGGAGGGUCAGGAGUACAAUGAGCCUCAAGGUUUGGCUCUCUUUGAUUGCUUUGAAAUGUGAAAGAUUGAAUCGUAUAGGAAUAUCACAUUUGUUGCGAGAUUGUGGCGCACUUCAAAUUUGAUAGGUUUCAGUUCAAAUUUUCAUGAAUAGGCAGUGAUCUGUGAUGCUUAUGAAUUGGUUUUACAAGAAGAACCUCAUUGAAUUUGGUUAUGCACACCAGGUGCUUGAUGAAAUGUCUGUGAAUGAAUUUUAGUGUUUUUGCUUGAUGAGACCACAAUGGACAUUAUGUGCUAGCGAGGGCUGACCUUCUAAAGAUCUUGAAGGAAUGUGAGGAAAGAGAUGUUACACGCUGCAAAGAGAUGUGCAUUAAAGAUGAAACCUUAAGAAAUACAUAAUUCUGCCCAGAUUUUCAGUCAAUUCGACGGCAAAUUGCGAGCAGCUCAGAGCGAUCCAGGAACCUUGCCUUAUAUCAACGGAAAGCUAGAAGAGUCUAGUUUCCAGAACUUUUCGCGGAUCGUUGAUAGCUAUUUUGUAGAGGAAGUUAUGCCCGUCGAAAGGAGGGAAUAUCAUUCUGCCGAAAACUGGAAAAGGAAGGAGAAAUUAUGUGAAUGGGCAUUUGACUCCAACAAAUUAUGUGUUGCUGAUACUCAUUAUAUACGACUUCUACAACUUAUAAAGCCAACACACAUCCACAUUAUGGUAAGUCUAGCCGCCCUUCCAGUGGAAAUAUGUGAAUGGAUAUCAGUUUGAGUUACAAGUUGUUACUUUUUGUUUAAAACUAGGGGAUAAGUUGUUCUUCCAAUUAGGUGAGAACUUUAGGGUUGUAUGGGCACGUGAUUGUGACAUAUGGUUGGCUUUCUAAAAAACUACAUAAACAUCGCUUGAUAUAUUAUUGUUGAAGGGCAUCAUCUGUCCUAAUUCUCUAGCAGCUUAAAAUGUACUUACAUUCUCUUUCCAUAUUUAUCUAACUAUUUAAAUGAUUUAUUUUAUAAGAGACUGGGAAGAUUGUGAAGACAAGUGACAUCUCUUUAACAGAACAAGCCUUGAUUUGUGUUGUUCAGAACAAGCCUUGAUUUGGUCUACAUUUAAGAGAUCAAGAUUCUCUUUACAAAGAUAGAACAUGGUGCAAUUGUUGUUCUUGUAUAGAUAAUUUGGUCU